This 493-nucleotide ribosomal RNA is filed under the name Acinetobacter baumannii. RNAcentral's name for it is "bacterial SSU rRNA". It matches the Rfam family "Bacterial small subunit ribosomal RNA", at positions 30 to 525 of the family's 1533-position model. The record is from RNAcentral. Lineage: Bacteria; Pseudomonadati; Pseudomonadota; Gammaproteobacteria; Moraxellales; Moraxellaceae. RNAcentral also lists the same sequence under 2 other names.
AUUGAACGCUGGCGGCAGGCUUAACACAUGCAAGUCGAAGCGGGGAWRAGGGUGCUUGCACCUUAUCUUAGCGGCGGACGGGUGAGUAAUGCUUAGGAAUCUGCCUAUUAGUGGGGGACAACAUUCCGAAAGGNAUGCUAAUACCGCAUACGUCCUACGGGAGAAAGCAGGGGAUCUUCGGACCUUGCGCUAAUAGAUGAGCCUAAGUCGGAUUAGCUAGUUGGUGGGGUAAAGGCCUACCAAGGCGACGAUCUGUAGCGGGUCUGAGAGGAUGAUCCGCCACACUGGGACUGAGACACGGCCCAGACUCCUACGGGAGGCAGCAGUGGGGAAUAUUGGACAAUGGGGGGAACCCUGAUCCAGCCAUGCCGCGUGUGUGAAGAAGGCUUAUGGUUGUAAAGCACUUUAAGCGAGGAGGAGGCUACUAACUAAUACCUUGGGAUAGUGGACGUUACUCCAGAAUAAGCACCGGUAACCUGUGCAACGCGGUAAA